CUUUAUUGGAGAGUUUGAUCCUGGCUCAGGAUGAACGCUGGCGGCGUGCCUAAUACAUGCAAGUCGAGCGAAUGGAUUAAGAGCUUGCUCUUAUGAAGUUAGCGGCGGACGGGUGAGUAACACGUGGGUAACCUGCCCAUAAGACUGGGAUAACUCCGGGAAAC
RNAcentral lists this ribosomal RNA (164 nucleotides) under Bacillus thuringiensis serovar pingluonsis. Its description in RNAcentral is "partial 16S ribosomal RNA". It matches the Rfam family "Bacterial small subunit ribosomal RNA", at positions 1 to 157 of the family's 1533-position model. The record is from RNAcentral. Lineage: Bacteria; Bacillati; Bacillota; Bacilli; Caryophanales; Bacillaceae.